UACGUAGGGAGCAAGCGUUGUCCGGAAUCAUUGGGCGUAAAGCGCGCGUAGGUGGCUUCGUAAGUCCGUUGUGAAAGUCAAAGGCUCAACCUUUGAAUGCCGAUGGAUACUGCGGAGCUAGAGUACGGAAGAGGCGAGUGGAAUUCCUGGUGUAGCGGUGGAAUGCGCAGAUAUCAGGAGGAACACCAACGGCGAAGGCAGCUCGCUGGGACGGUACUGACGCUGAGACGCGAAAGCGUGGGGAGCGAACAGG
Molecule: ribosomal RNA, 253 nt
Filed under: uncultured bacterium
Lineage: Bacteria
Description: partial 16S ribosomal RNA
Rfam family: Bacterial small subunit ribosomal RNA
Source: RNAcentral